GCCUAUGAUGUUUUAAUCCGUAUUAAUGAGGUGUAGUGGAGCCAAGUCCCUGCUUUGCAGGGGGAACCUCUUGGUGAAGCUACAUUCCAAAUGAUCAUGCUGGAUUUUCUGAGGC
RNAcentral lists this small nucleolar RNA (115 nucleotides) under Ipomoea nil (Japanese morning glory). RNAcentral describes it as "Small nucleolar RNA Z278". It matches the Rfam family "Small nucleolar RNA Z278". Rfam says of the family: snoZ278 is a C/D box small nucleolar RNA. Lineage: Eukaryota; Viridiplantae; Streptophyta; Magnoliopsida; Solanales; Convolvulaceae. The record is from Rfam by way of RNAcentral.